GACGAACGCUGGCGGCGUGCCUAAUACAUGCAAGUUGAGCGAUGAAGAUUGGUGCUUGCACCAAUUUGAAGAGCAGCGAACGGGUGAGUAAAGCGUGGGGAAUCUGCCUUUGAGCGGGGGACAACAUUUGGAAACGAAUGCUAAUACCGCAUAACAACUUUAAACAUAAGUUUUAAGUUUGAAAGAUGCAAUUGCAUCACUCAAAGAUGAUCCCGCGUUGUAUUAGCUAGUUGGUGAGGUAAAGGCUCACCAAGGCGAUGAUACAUAGCCGACCUGAGAGGGUGAUCGGCCACAUUGGGACUGAGACACGGCCCAAACUCCUACGGGAGGCAGCAGUAGGGAAUCUUCGGCAAUGGACGAAAGUCUGACCGAGCAACGUCGCGUGAGUGAAGAAGGUUUUCGGAUCGUAAAACUCUGUUGGUAGAGAAGAACGUUGGUGAGAGUGGAAAGCUCAUCAAGUGACGGUAACUACCCAGAAAGGGACGGCUAACUACGUG
Molecule: ribosomal RNA, 497 nt
Filed under: uncultured bacterium
Lineage: Bacteria
Description: partial 16S ribosomal RNA
Rfam family: Bacterial small subunit ribosomal RNA
Source: RNAcentral